GAAAAAUAACAUUUAGAAUGCAUGUCAUUGUCUGAAGGGAGGCCAGUGAAAACCUCUGCUAAAGGUGUUUCUGCCACUCAGACGAAAUGCUGGAAAAUAAAGAAAAGGGUGAAAUCCCGCAUCAGCACUCUCCAUGGAGAGAUUUUCCAAGUGUAACCUCAGUUGAGGCUCAGGUGCCACACCAAAACAGAAACUCCUGAGAAGACGCCUUUCCCACGAUGAGAAACGGAAAACUCAGUUUCACCAGCAGUUUCUCAUUGGAGAACCAGUUGAGUUUUCGAGCAGCUAAUUUUUUGAAGGCUUGAACCUGAAGUCUGUCACGCCUCAAGUGGACUCCCCCAGUGUUGCGAACUCCAUCUCCCAUGAAUCCAUGGGAGGACACGUGACUUCGGACUUCCCUGUCACAUCGGAGCCCAUAAUGGACAUCACCCAGGAGUCUACAGGGGAUCACGUGACCGGUGACGAUCGGUCCCAGGUUUCACCUGUGUUUGUAUGUCUAUGACUGAUGUUGUAGUUUAGUAUAUAAGCCCAGGCUCUAGUUAGGUCAAGUUGCGAAGUAAUGUUUCUCAUGUAAACUUACUGAGCGUUCCUUCUGAUUGCCUUUAUCUGUUUUUGACUCUGACCUCUUCUUGUUUUUCUCAAUGCUGAUUUUUUUCCUUGCCCUUUUGGUUUUGUUUGCUGGUUUUGGAUUUGUGCGUUUGACCUCUUUUUGCUUGUUAUUUCGACCUUGAUUUUUGGAUUGCGCUUUUGUUUAGUCUGCCUUGUGAGAUGAUCACCUUUGUGAUCAUCUACAUUCUUCUGGUUUUGACCCCUGUAUGUACUUUGCCUAAUAUAAUUAAACCCACUUUUUCACUUUAA
Long non-coding RNA from Pygocentrus nattereri (red-bellied piranha), 858 nucleotides. RefSeq lists it as uncharacterized. The transcript is spliced from 3 exons. NCBI's taxonomy places the organism in Eukaryota, Metazoa, Chordata, Actinopteri, Characiformes, Serrasalmidae. The record is from RefSeq and is a predicted model, not a curated record.